RNAcentral lists this non-coding RNA (114 nucleotides) under Desulforamulus reducens. RNAcentral describes it as "Desulfotomaculum reducens SAM-I sequence". It matches the Rfam family "SAM riboswitch aptamer (S box leader)". From Rfam's summary of the family: The SAM riboswitch is found upstream of a number of genes which code for proteins involved in methionine or cysteine biosynthesis in Gram-positive bacteria. The SAM riboswitch acts at the level of transcription termination control. The predicted structure consists of a complex stem-loop region followed by a single stem loop terminator region. Lineage: Bacteria; Bacillati; Bacillota; Clostridia; Eubacteriales; Peptococcaceae. The record is from RNAcentral. RNAcentral also lists the same sequence under 1 other name.
UUCUUAUCCAGAGAGGCUGAGGGACUGGCCCUGAGACGCCCGGCAACCUUCUUAGGCAUUUAUCUAAGAAAGGUGCUAAUUCCUGCAGAAGAAUAAUCUUCUGAAAGAUAAGGA